Molecule: long non-coding RNA, 6105 nt
Organism: Dromaius novaehollandiae (emu)
Lineage: Eukaryota; Metazoa; Chordata; Aves; Casuariiformes; Dromaiidae
Exons: 2
Source: RefSeq, a predicted model, not a curated record
CCCUGCUCUUGUAAGCAGGAACGUGUUCUCCAAAAGAACAUGCAGAGAUAACUGAAAAAUGGUGGGCUCUUUGCUAGGGAUGUUUUUGUUCUGAUAGGAUCCCAUUCGAAAGCACUUACAACCUGAUUGUGAUUGUAUGUGUUGGCAUGUGGGCUUUUGUGAUACAUGGCUGCAGGAAAGUGUUCUCUUUCUGGCCUGUUGAUCCAAUUAACCACAUCAGCACAAAAUGGUAUGAGGUGUUUCUCCUUUAUAGCCCAUGCUGUUGGUUUGAGCUUCAAGCUGCUGUCUUCUGCAGUGUAACUAAUAAACCCCAUGUAUAUAAGUAUUUUAUAAAGCACUUCAAGAAUCACUGCCAAAUCCCAGACUCUGAGGAUGUGGCAUCUGCUCUCCCAGCUAGGCAGCCCUCACUCUCUACAAAUACAGUCUGUCCAUAAGCAGACAAUUCCGGGGCCCUUCUUGACUUCUGGAUCCUCUUUAUUAAUAAGGCAUCGUCACUGAAAAGUCAUUGGGCUGCCUGGGGGCUGCAUAGUGUCCUUCCAUACUGUCUCAAGAGAGCUCUAAUGCUGUGGGUGCUCCCGAAACAAUCCCACCCCUGAAUAUGAAUAAGAUUGCCUUAAAAUCUGAUUGCGGAGAGGAAUGAUGUAGGUGUGUGACAUUUUUAUCCAGAAGCCUGUUCUGAGGACUGUCCUGUUUAGUUGAAAUUACUCAGUCAGAGGGAGUAUUACCAAGUGUUAGCCCUGCAGAACUGGGCCCCCAUGUCCUAAGAGCCACUUUCAGUCAGAGCUCGGCUAAAAUCAAUGGACUUGUGUCAAGUUACUGUAGCUGAGGGUUUGUCUCCUAAGCUUUUCCUUGCUGUACUGCCUCUUCAUCGCAUGAAUACGGAUUGUGCCAGAACUUUUCCCAUCUUUUAGCAUUGGGGGUUUAGUGGUGGGCAUGGGGUUUUGGUGGAUGUUUUUGUCAUUUAGAUUAUGCAGGUAAGCCCUCCAGAGAUGGAUUCUUUAAGAAUCUGGUCUCUCUCUCUCUCUGCUUUCUCAAGAUGAGUGGAAGCUGUGUUCUGCAGCAGAUGGCACCAUUGUUUGUGUUUGGAGGUUAGUUUUACUCUAAUACAAAAUUCCUUCAAACUGUCUUGGUUGCCAAGAAAAGUCAUCUUAGCUCACUAGUGGAUCCAGUAUAUAGUUAUAGUUCUUUUUGCUUCUAAAACCUUACAUUUGAAUAUACUGUAGUACCUAUUAGUGAACUGUUACUGUGAACGUUAAACAUUUAAACAUCUUGAAAGCUAAAAAAUUAACGUCUUGGCAUGUUAAACAUCUUAUAUGCUUCAGACAGAAAUCUGAAUAUCUGUGUCUAGUUCCUCGUGCCUUAAGUCAAGAAAAUCCUCCAGGUCAUGCUCAAUUCUAGAAGAGCUGGACUAGGGAGCUUCCAGGCAGUAUUGACAGCCAGUGUAGCAGUUUAAUUUAAGUUCUGAGAGCUCUGUAUUUCUCUUGACUUUUGCACCUUCAGGUUUAGAGCAGAUACAAUGAGGUAGAUGUUCUACAUAUGAGAGCAUCUCAUCGGCUUCUGAGUACCAACCAGCCAAGGUGGGAUUUAGCAGAAUUUCUUCAUUUUCACAAGUACUGUCUUCUGCACUCAUUUUGGCUUGGGUGCUUAAUAUUUAUUCCAAAAGUAGUCUUUAACCUGUGCAUUGUCUUUGAGUGAAGAUUAUAUCUGUAUACAUUUAUUUAUUGUGGAGAGAAACUCUGCAAAGCUAUAGUUUAAUUAUGCCCAAAGAGAUCUGCACACAUCACAGCUUGAAUGAUGGGAAAAUCCAGAUGAUACUGUCAAGACUGUGACAGGUCCAGGGAAGGGUUGGGAAACUCAAAGUAAAAGACAAGGAUGGUAAAUUGUAGUCAGCGUAGAAAUUGUUGGAAGUGCUACAAUAGCAAUAAAAAAAAAUGUAACCUUAACAGACCUUGGAGGAAAAUUGCAGGGCCUUUGGCUUUAGUAAUUAAGCAACCUCAGCAAAUCAGUCACUCACAUAAUGCGCCAAGUUCUUAAUAGAUACGUCAAUCCAUUAUGUUCAUGCAUGGCAGCCUGCUUGCAGUUUAGCUUCUUGCCACAAAAAUCUGUUUCUUAAGUGUUUAACACUUUUCUAUUUGAAGUUAGCUUAUGCUGUAAAUUAUAUAAGCAAUUUUUCACAAGGAAAAGAAAUGAACAUUAAUCUCAAAAGCUUAAAACUAUAAAACCACUUUUUUAUUCCUAUAAUUGUUUUUUGUUGAUGUUGUUUUCACUGGUUUCUUUGUCAUCCUCUGAGCUUUGGCACCACUGACACUUUACUGCUUAUUUUUGUGGUAAGUGGAAUGACACUUUUCCAGUCAUUGCACAGCAUGCUGCAGCUUUACAGAACUGCAGACAGCCUAAACACUUCUGCCUUGCUCAAAAUCUACAGUGCACUUUUUGGAUUCUCUCCUGAAUAUGAAUUCCCAUCUUCAUAUUCUCCUGAAUAUAAAUUCCCACAGCCAUUUAAGCUUUUCUAAAUGUGUUUGUCCAUUGAAAAGAUACAUUGAGCGUUAAACAUGCACUUAAAGUGUCAUCUUAAGUGAGCAUAAAAGAGAAUAAUGAGGUAUUUUAAAUGGCCACAGUAGACUCAUUUCUUCUUUCCCUCAGAGGAAGCAUCAUCCUUAAGAUCCUGUAUUCACAUACACAUUAUUGGCACUGCUGCUUGCGCACUGAAUGUGGGCUCAAGGGGAAGCAGUAACUCUGCAGCGGACCCUGAACUGGUGCUUCAGGAUGGCAGAAUUUUUUCUAAACGAAGGAAAGGAUGGGUUUCAGCCUAAUGAGCAUUCCUCCAAAACUCCUCAAAAGCACUCUAGGCAGUUCUGAGUAGUUCUGAGCAGCUAUAAUAUUCCUUUAAAAAGCGCUAAAGUCCUAUAAACUGCACUGACAUUCCUCUAAACUGCCUCCAAGUAGCUCUAGAAAUCCUCUAAGCUGUCCUAAGCAGUUCUAAGCAGCUGCUCCAAGCAGCUCUCAGCAGCUCUCAAAUUCCUCUGAACUAAUCUAGAACUUCUUUUACUGGUCUGAAGACCUCUGAAUUUCCUUUAGACCUCUAAAACUCCUUGGAGAUUCUCUGAGAUGCUCAAAGCAUCCCUCUAAAACAUCACUAGACAGCUCCAAAACACCUCUAAAGAACUCUUGCAGAGCUCUAAUACUCUGCUCCAAGAAAUCUUUUAAAAGCAUUUAACUGAUUCUAAAAUACGCUAGAAUGCCUCUAAACCUGUCUGUAUUUCUUUAAGCAACUCUAAAAUACCUCUAAAAUGCACUAAGUUGUUGUACAACAUAUCUAAACAGCUGUAAAACUCCUAAUCAGGUAUAUAAAACUGUGAGCAACUGUAAACUCCUUUAAAACCUCUACCUCUCUGAAAACCCUCUAAACAAUUCUAAUCUCAUCUAAAAUUCCUCUACGCUGCUCUAAGCAGCACUAAACUGCCUCAAAAUAGUUCUCAAACACUUCUCGACCUCCUUGCAACUGUGACAACUGUUCUAGAACACCUCUAAGUAGUCAAACUCCUUUAAAACUCCUCUAAACAGCCCUCAAAUUUCACUAAUCAGCCCUAAAAUUCCUCUAAACUGUUCUAAAAUAUCUAAACUACUCCAAGCAGCCCUGUGACUCCUCUAUAACAGAAAUGCUGUUUAGAGAAGCAGCACUAAAACUUCUCUGAAGUCCUUUAAAAUUUAACUGCUGUAAGCAACUCCACAGCUCUCCUAAACUGAUCUAAACCUUUAAAGCUUCAAUGAGCAGUUCUAAGCAGGUCUGAACUCCUGUGCAGUGCUCUAAACUCCUGUAAAGCAUUCUAAACAACUGUUAACUCCUUUACAGUUUUUUUCUAAACCUCUUCUAAAAAACUCAGAGCACCUCUAAACUGAUCUACAGCUCUUCUAUGCUCCAUAAGCAGCACUAAAAUGCCUCUAAACCUCCUCUAGAUAACUCUGGACUCCUCUGAACAGCUCUAGUAUUCCUCUAAACAACUCUAAGCAGCUCUAAGACCUCGCUGUGCUGAUCUCUAACACCUACGAACUGUUCUAAGCAGCUCAGAAAUGCUCUAAACCACUGUAAAACUGCUCUGAAAUGCUCUCAACAGCACUAAGCAUUUCUAAGAUCUCUUAAACUACUCCGAAACUCUUCUGAACUUCUAAAUGGCUCUACGCAGCACUGAGCUGCCUCUGAACCUCCCUAAAGGAGGUUUUUCUGUUCUUCAAGUUACAGGAAUGCUGUUAAAAGACAAAAGAAAAAGAAGACAGAGCCAGACUUUUCUCAGUGGUGCCUAGAGGCAUGACAAGAGGCAAGGGUAAAUACUGGGGCCGAUAGUGCUUAACUUCUCUAUUAAUGACCUGGAUGAUGGGGCAGAGUGCCUCCUCAGCAAGUUUGCAGAUGACACCAAACUGGGAGGAGUGGUGGAUAGACGGAUGGUUGGUGCUGCUGUUCAAAGGGACCUUGACAGGCUGGAGAAAUGGGCAGAGAUGAACCUCCUGGAGUUCAACAGAGGUACAUGCCAAGUCCUGCCCCAGGGAGGAAUAACCCCAGGCACCAGUACAGGCUGGGGGUCGACCAGCUGGAGAGCAGCUUUGCAGAAAAAGACUUGGUGGUCCUAGUGGACAUGAGCCAGCAAAGUGCCCGUGUGGCAAAGAAGGCCAAUGGCAUCCUGGGCUGCAUUAGGCUGCCAGCAGGUUGUGGGAGAUGAUCCUUCCCCUCCCAUCAUCCUUGGUGAGGCCACAUCUGGAGUGCUGGGUCCAGUGCUGGCCUCCCCAGUACCGGAAGGACAAGGAUGUACUGAAGCAUGUCCAGCGAGGGACCACAAAGAUGAUUAAGGGACUGGAGAAUCUGUCAUAUGAGAAGAGGCUGCAAGAGCUGGGAUUGCUCAUCCUGGAGAAAGAGAAAUUACCCAUAUGGCUGGAAGAGCAUAGAGAAGAGAGGAUUUCAGGAAGAAAGAGAUGAGCAUCAAAUAAAAGAAAAACACAUGUGCUUUGUGAGAACCUGUUAAUAAAGCCAAGCCCCAGAGAAAAUGAUAGCUGAGUGUGAAUAGCCCACAGUGAGCAUAUUUUGGAGUGGAGGAGGAAUACCACAAACCCAAACUCCUGAGAUUAUUAUGUGACUACGUGAAAAAUGUGCUCCCAGGGCACAGAACAGCAGGGGAUUGUUCUCUUUGCUGCGGACGCUGCGUACUCUCAACGCACUCUCAUGUAAGAUCUGACAGGGAGUACUGCAGGCAGAGUGUUUUACUGCAUCUGUUUCAUGGAUGGGAAAGAGGUGUUGAAAAGCACAAUGAUUUUCCUCAGUCUGCAAAGCAAGCCCCACAGCAGAGCUGCAACCUGCAGACAUUGGUACAUUCUCAAGAGAGACUGAUUCAUGUCUUUUUUGGUGAUCAGUCCAUAUGCACUUUAUGUGACCUUUUACAGCUCCUUUUCUUCUGAAGCUGUUAAAUGUCAGUCAUAAAUCUGUGCAGGGCGUUAAGGGGACAAUCGUACAUCAUUUUAAUAGGUGGUGACAGUCCCGUGGCCAGAUCUGCUGUGAAGAUUCAAAUUCAGGACCUGCCGCGGUUUCUGUGGGAUGGAGGGGGAUUGUGCUGUGCGUAGCUGUAUUUCUGCCACGGGAUCCAGGCUGUGCACUGCAUGUGGUUACAGAAGAUUAUAGAGACUGGCUGUUCCAAGGGGUCCUCUAAGAGUCGGGCCGAAAAGGGAAGCUGAUGGAGAAGGAAGGAGGUCACGAAGAGAUGUCUGUCUUGAGACAAACGUCAGAUGAUGCUGACUGCCUGCCUGUCCUUCAGGCAGAUUGCUGUCCAUGUCUUUUCAGUUUUUCUUUUUAAGUUGUAACACUGUAAAUAAAGAAUAUUUAAAUCACCCCCAUAUAGACUGUCUUUUGCCGCUGGUAAGUUUGUGAUCCGUGUAAAGUGCUUUUAGCAAUGUAAUGACACUGGCAGGGUUCUUAAAAGUUCAGCAAUUCAGCCGAACUCCAAAAGCAGGCCAGGCUCAUGUCACAGCCUGUGAUUUUCAUUGUCCAAACCCUUUUCUUCUUUAAAACAAAAGCGGCAUCUUAGCAGGUUUAUGUACUAUUAAAACAACUGCAAAAGAGUA